RNAcentral lists this ribosomal RNA (450 nucleotides) under uncultured bacterium. Its description in RNAcentral is "bacterial SSU rRNA". It matches the Rfam family "Bacterial small subunit ribosomal RNA", at positions 355 to 825 of the family's 1533-position model. The record is from RNAcentral.
UCAAGAAACUUCCACAAUGGGCGAAAGCCUGAUGGAGCGACGUCGCGUGAUGGACGAAGUGCUUCGGCACGUAAACAUCUUUUAUGUGGGAUGAAAUUAUUGACAGUACCACAUGAAUAAGGGGCUCCUAACUCUGUGCCAGCAGGAGCGGUAAUACAGAGGCCCCAAGCGUUAUCCGGAAUCACUGGGCGUAAAGGGUGUCGAGGCGGUUGUACUAGUCGUUCGUAAAAUCUACGAGCUUAACUUGUAGGCGGCGAACGAAACGGUACGACUUGAGGUUUGGAGAGGUGCGUGGAACUCACGGUGUAGGGGUGAAAUCCGUUGAUAUCGUGGGGAACACCAAAGGCGAAGGCAGCGCACUGGCCAAAAUCUGACGCUCACACACGAAAGCUAGGGUAGCGAAGAGGAUUAGAUACCCAUGUAGUCCCUGAGCGGGCUGGCAAGGCGCAU